GACCUCAGAUCAGGCAAGGCUACCCGCUGAAUUUA
This 35-nucleotide ribosomal RNA is filed under the name Dipsastraea matthaii. Its description in RNAcentral is "partial 28S ribosomal RNA". The record is from RNAcentral. Lineage: Eukaryota; Metazoa; Cnidaria; Anthozoa; Scleractinia; Merulinidae.